GAUUAAGUUAUUAAGGGCGCACGGUGGAUGCCUUGGCACUAGAAGCCGAUGAAGGACGUUACUAACGACGAUAUGCUUUGGGGAGCUGUAAGUAAGCUUUGAUCCAGAGAUUUCCGAAUGGGGAAACCCAGCAUGAGUUAUGUCAUGUUAUCGAUAUGUGAAUACAUAGCAUAUCAGAAGGCACACCCGGAGAACUGAAACAUCUUAGUACCCGGAGGAAGAGAAAGAAAAUUCGAUUCCCUUAGUAGCGGCGAGCGAAACGGGAAGAGCCCAAACCAACAAGCUUGCUUGUUGGGGUUGUAGGACACUCUAUACGGAGUUACAAAGGACGACAUUAGACGAAUCAUCUGGAAAGAUGAAUCAAAGAAGGUAAUAAUCCUGUAGUCGAAAAUGUUGUCUCUCUUGAGUGGAUCCUGAGUACGACGGAGCACGUGAAAUUCCGUCGGAAUCUGGGAGGACCAUCUCCUAAGGCUAAAUACUCUCUAGUGACCGAUAGUGAACCAGUACCGUGAGGGAAAGGUGAAAAGCACCCCGGAAGGGGAGUGAAAUAGAACCUGAAACCGUGUGCUUACAAGUAGUCAGAGCCCGUUAAUGGGUGAUGGCGUGCCUUUUGUAGAAUGAACCGGCGAGUUACGAUUUGAUGCAAGGUUAAGCAGUAAAUGUGGAGCCGUAGCGAAAGCGAGUCUGAAUAGGGCGUUUAGUAUUUGGUCGUAGACCCGAAACCAGGUGAUCUACCCUUGGUCAGGUUGAAGUUCAGGUAACACUGAAUGGAGGACCGAACCGACUUACGUUGAAAAGUGAGCGGAUGAACUGAGGGUAGCGGAGAAAUUCCAAUCGAACCUGGAGAUAGCUGGUUCUCUCCGAAAUAGCUUUAGGGCUAGCCUCAAGUGAUGAUUAUUGGAGGUAGAGCACUGUUUGGACGAGGGGCCCCUCUCGGGUUACCGAAUUCAGACAAACUCCGAAUGCCAAUUAAUUUAACUUGGGAGUCAGAACAUGGGUGAUAAGGUCCGUGUUCGAAAGGGAAACAGCCCAGACCACCAGCUAAGGUCCCAAAAUAUAUGUUAAGUGGAAAAGGAUGUGGCGUUGCCCAGACAACUAGGAUGUUGGCUUAGAAGCAGCCAUCAUUUAAAGAGUGCGUAAUAGCUCACUAGUCGAGUGACACUGCGCCGAAAAUGUACCGGGGCUAAACAUAUUACCGAAGCUGUGGAUUGUCCUUUGGACAAUGGUAGGAGAGCGUUCUAAGGGCGUUGAAGCAUGAUCGUAAGGACAUGUGGAGCGCUUAGAAGUGAGAAUGCCGGUGUGAGUAGCGAAAGAUGGGUGAGAAUCCCGUCCACCGAUUGACUAAGGUUUCCAGAGGAAGGCUCGUCCGCUCUGGGUUAGUCGGGUCCUAAGCUGAGGCCGACAGGCGUAGGCGAUGGAUAACAGGUUGAUAUUCCUGUACCACCUAUAAUCGUUUUAAUCGAUGGGGGGACGCAGUAGGAUAGGCGAAGCGUGCGAUUGGAUUGCACGUCUAAGCAGUAAGGCUGAGUAUUAGGCAAAUCCGGUACUCGUUAAGGCUGAGCUGUGAUGGGGAGAAGACAUUGUGUCUUCGAGUCGUUGAUUUCACACUGCCGAGAAAAGCCUCUAGAUAGAAAAUAGGUGCCCGUACCGCAAACCGACACAGGUAGUCAAGAUGAGAAUUCUAAGGUGAGCGAGCGAACUCUCGUUAAGGAACUCGGCAAAAUGACCCCGUAACUUCGGGAGAAGGGGUGCUCUUUAGGGUUAACGCCCAGAAGAGCCGCAGUGAAUAGGCCCAAGCGACUGUUUAUCAAAAACACAGGUCUCUGCUAAACCGUAAGGUGAUGUAUAGGGGCUGACGCCUGCCCGGUGCUGGAAGGUUAAGAGGAGUGGUUAGCUUCUGCGAAGCUACGAAUCGAAGCCCCAGUAAACGGCGGCCGUAACUAUAACGGUCCUAAGGUAGCGAAAUUCCUUGUCGGGUAAGUUCCGACCCGCACGAAAGGCGUAACGAUUUGGGCACUGUCUCAACGAGAGACUCGGUGAAAUCAUAGUACCUGUGAAGAUGCAGGUUACCCGCGACAGGACGGAAAGACCCCGUGGAGCUUUACUGUAGCCUGAUAUUGAAAUUCGGCACAGCUUGUACAGGAUAGGUAGGAGCCUUUGAAACGUGAGCGCUAGCUUACGUGGAGGCGCUGGUGGGAUACUACCCUAGCUGUGUUGGCUUUCUAACCCGCACCACUUAUCGUGGUGGGAGACAGUGUCAGGCGGGCAGUUUGACUGGGGCGGUCGCCUCCUAAAAGGUAACGGAGGCGCUCAAAGGUUCCCUCAGAAUGGUUGGAAAUCAUUCAUAGAGUGUAAAGGCAUAAGGGAGCUUGACUGCGAGACCUACAAGUCGAGCAGGGUCGAAAGACGGACUUAGUGAUCCGGUGGUUCCGCAUGGAAGGGCCAUCGCUCAACGGAUAAAAGCUACCCCGGGGAUAACAGGCUUAUCUCCCCCAAGAGUUCACAUCGACGGGGAGGUUUGGCACCUCGAUGUCGGCUCAUCGCAUCCUGGGGCUGUAGUCGGUCCCAAGGGUUGGGCUGUUCGCCCAUUAAAGCGGUACGCGAGCUGGGUUCAGAACGUCGUGAGACAGUUCGGUCCCUAUCCGUCGUGGGCGUAGGAAAUUUGAGAGGAGCUAUCCUUAGUACGAGAGGACCGGGAUGGACAUACCUCUGGUGUACCAGUUGUCGUGCCAACGGCAUAGCUGGGUAGCUAUGUGUGGACGGGAUAAGUGCUGAAAGCAUCUAAGCAUGAAGCCCCCCUCAAGAUGAGAUUUCCCAACUUCGGUUAUAAGAUCCCUCAAAGAUGAUGAGGUUAAUAGGUUCGAGGUGGAAGCAUGGUGACAUGUGGAGCUGACGAAUACUAAUCGAUCGAAGACUUAAUCAA
RNAcentral lists this ribosomal RNA (2923 nucleotides) under Staphylococcus aureus. RNAcentral's name for it is "23S ribosomal RNA". It matches the Rfam family "Bacterial large subunit ribosomal RNA". Lineage: Bacteria; Bacillati; Bacillota; Bacilli; Caryophanales; Staphylococcaceae. The record is from RNAcentral.